RNAcentral lists this ribosomal RNA (492 nucleotides) under uncultured bacterium. RNAcentral's name for it is "partial 16S ribosomal RNA". It matches the Rfam family "Bacterial small subunit ribosomal RNA", at positions 29 to 507 of the family's 1533-position model. The record is from RNAcentral.
AGUGAACGCUGGCGGUAGGCCUAACACAUGCAAGCCGAACGGCAGCACAGUAAGAGCUUGCUCUUACGGGUGGCGAGUGGCGGACGGGUGAGGAAUACAUCGGAAUCUACUUUUUCGUGGGGGAUAACGUAGGGAAACUUACGCUAAUACCGCAUACGACCUACGGGUGAAAGCAGGGGAUCUUCGGACCUUGCGCGAUUGAAUGAGCCGAUGUCGGAUUAGCUAGUUGGCGGGGUAAAGGCCCACCAAGGCGACGAUCCGUAGCUGGCCUGAGAGGAUGAUCAGCCACACUGGAACUGAGACACGGUCCAGACUCCUACGGGAGGCAGCAGUGGGGAAUAUUGGACAAUGGGCGCAAGCCUGAUCCAGCCAUACCGCGUGGGUGAAGAAGGCCUUCGGGUUGUAAAGCCCUUUUGUUGGGAAAGAAAAGCAGCAGGUUAAUACCCCGCUGUUCUGACGGUACCCAAAGAAUAAGCACCGGCUAACUUCGUG